GGCGAACGCUGGCGGCGUGCUUAACACAUGCAAGUCGAACGGAAAGGCCUCUUUCGGGGGGUACUCGAGUGGCGAACGGGUGAGUAACACGUGAGUAACCUGCCCUUGACUUUGGGAUAACUUCAGGAAACUGGGGCUAAUACCGGAUAGGAGCUCCUGCUGCAUGGUGGGGGUUGGAAAGUUUCGGCGGUUGGGGAUGGACUCGCGGCUUAUCAGCUUGUUGGUGGGGUAGUGGCUUACCAAGGCUUUGACGGGUAGCCGGCCUGAGAGGGUGACCGGCCACAUUGGGACUGAGAUACGGCCCAGACUCCUACGGGAGGCAGCAGUGGGGAAUAUUGCACAAUGGGUGGAAGCCUGAUGCAGCAACGCCGUGUGCGGGAGGACGGCCUUCGGGUUGUAAACCGCUUUCGCUCAUGACGAAGCUUUGUGUGACGGUAGUGGGUAAAGAAGCACCGGCUAACUACGUG
This 467-nucleotide ribosomal RNA is filed under the name uncultured bacterium. RNAcentral's name for it is "partial 16S ribosomal RNA". It matches the Rfam family "Bacterial small subunit ribosomal RNA", at positions 28 to 507 of the family's 1533-position model. The record is from RNAcentral.